GCAUAUCAAUAAGCGGAGGAAAAGAAACUAACAAGGAUUCCCCUAGUAACGGCGAGUGAAGCGGGAAGAGCUCAAAUUUGAAAUCUGGUAGCCUUCGGUUGCCCGAGUUGUAAUCUAGAGAAGUGUUUUCCGUGCCGGCCCAUGUACAAGUCCCUUGGAACAGGGCGUCAUAGAGGGUGAGAAUCCCGUCCUUGACAUGGACCCCCGGUGCUUUGUGAUACACUUUCAACGAGUCGAGUUGUUUGGGAAUGCAGCUCAAAAUGGGUGGUGAAUUCCAUCUAAAGCUAAAUAUUGGCGAGAGACCGAUAGCGAACAAGUACCGUGAGGGAAAGAUGAAAAGCACUUUGGAAAGAGAGUUAAACAGUACGUGAAAUUGUUGAAAGGGAAACGAUUGAAGUCAGUCAUGCUCUUGGGACUUACCUCCCUUGAGUGGGGUCAACAUCAGUUUUGAUCGAUGGAUAAAGGCACGGGGAAGGUAGCACUCUCGGGUGAACUUAUAGCCUCGCGUCAUAUACAUUGAUUGGGACUGAGGAACGCAGCAUGCCUUAUGGCCGGGAUUCGUCCACGUACAUGCUUAGGAUGUUGACAUAAUGGCUUUAAACCGCCCGUCUUGAAACACGGACC
This 624-nucleotide ribosomal RNA is filed under the name Naganishia albida. RNAcentral's name for it is "eukaryotic LSU rRNA". It matches the Rfam family "Eukaryotic large subunit ribosomal RNA", at positions 38 to 667 of the family's 3401-position model. Lineage: Eukaryota; Fungi; Basidiomycota; Tremellomycetes; Filobasidiales; Filobasidiaceae. The record is from RNAcentral.